This is a non-coding RNA of Rattus norvegicus (Norway rat), 77 nucleotides long. NCBI's taxonomy places the organism in Eukaryota, Metazoa, Chordata, Mammalia, Rodentia, Muridae. The record is from Rfam.
CGCUUUGCUCAGUGGCAGUAUGGUAGCCAAUGAGGUUUAUCUGAGGCACUAUUACUGCUAAUUGAACAUUUGAUGCU